Molecule: ribosomal RNA, 745 nt
Filed under: Acinetobacter sp.
Lineage: Bacteria; Pseudomonadati; Pseudomonadota; Gammaproteobacteria; Moraxellales; Moraxellaceae
Description: bacterial SSU rRNA
Rfam family: Bacterial small subunit ribosomal RNA
Source: RNAcentral
CGGUACUGACCUUAGCGGCGGACGGGUGAGUAAUGCUUAGGAAUCUGCCUAUUAGUGGGGGACAACAUCUCGAAAGGGAUGCUAAUACCGCAUACGUCCUACGGGAGAAAGCAGGGGAUCACUUGUGACCUUGCGCUAAUAGAUGAGCCUAAGUCGGAUUAGCUAGUUGGUGGGGUAAAGGCCUACCAAGGCGACGAUCUGUAGCGGGUCUGAGAGGAUGAUCCGCCACACUGGGACUGAGACACGGCCCAGACUCCUACGGGAGGCAGCAGUGGGGAAUAUUGGACAAUGGGGGGAACCCUGAUCCAGCCAUGCCGCGUGUGUGAAGAAGGCCUUAUGGUUGUAAAGCACUUUAAGCGAGGAGGAGGCUAUCCUAGUUAAUACCUAGGAAUAGUGGACGUUACUCGCAGAAUAAGCACCGGCUAACUCUGUGCCAGCAGCCGCGGUAAUACAGAGGGUGCAAGCGUUAAUCGGAUUUACUGGGCGUAAAGCGCGCGUAGGCGGCCAAUUAAGUCAAAUGUGAAAUCCCCGAGCUUAACUUGGGAAUUGCAUUCGAUACUGGUUGGCUAGAGUGUGGGAGAGGAUGGUAGAAUUCCAGGUGUAGCGGUGAAAUGCGUAGAGAUCUGGAGGAAUACCGAUGGCGAAGGCAGCCAUCUGGCCUAACACUGACGCUGAGGUGCGAAAGCAUGGGGAGCAAACAGGAUUAGAUACCCUGGUAGUCCAUGCCGUAAACGAUGUCUACUAG